Belonocnema kinseyi is the source of this 4175-nucleotide RNA transcript. It is a transcript of the gene named UPF0047 protein YjbQ, with no coding region annotated. Lineage: Eukaryota; Metazoa; Arthropoda; Insecta; Hymenoptera; Cynipidae. The record is from RefSeq and is a predicted model, not a curated record. The transcript is spliced from 4 exons.
AAAUCGCACAAGGGUUGUGGCGGUUCAUACGUGUUUGUACAAGAAAAUCGAAAAUCAGGAAAACCGUCGUGAAAUUUGCGCCCUUCGGAACGUCGCUUUCGUCGAGGGUUGAAAUUCCCAAGCAGUUUUACCCUCUAAGUUGCGUAUGCACGUGGUCCUUCGAGGAGGAGUGGUGCACGUCAAUCGUUAUCUCCCCUAACCUUUUCGCGAGCUCUCGAGGUGAAAAAAUUGUCAUCGUUCGGAGUAUCGCGAGUCCCGAGGGCGCCGAAAAAUGUGGUUCCCGAUUUCCUCUUGUCCGUGAGAAUCGUCGUCGGCGCCACGACGGCUUCGAGGCACAAACAACUCGAUGGGGCGGCCUGUACGGCCUCAACUCUCGUGACUCUCGCCUUCGGACUUUGUCGUCUCCGGACUUUGUCACGAAUUUCCAGGAGUCAAUCUUGCCUCCUGGCUCUUGAGUUUCGAGUUCUCGCCGGGAAAAUUGGCAAAAUUUGGCAGCCUUUUUCAAACGCCAUGGCUUCCUCCACCAGGGGCAUCCAAAUCGGAAACGCCUGGUUCCAGAAGAAGAUCAACCUCAGACCCCAGCACCGAGGCAUCCACCUCGUCACGGAGGAAAUAUUGAGACAGAUUCCUGAACUCUGCCAGUUUUCGGUUGGCCUCUGCCAUAUACAGAUUCUUCACACUUCGGCGAGUCUGGCAUUAAAUGAAAGUUGGGAUCCGGAUGUAAGGGACGACAUGGAAAUGAUGCUAAAUAAGAUAGUUCCUGAAGGUUUGGAUUACAGACAUAGCUGUGAAGGUCCAGAUGACAUGCCUGCGCACGUGAAGGCGUGUUUUCUCGGCUCGUCUCUCAGCAUCCCAAUCACCGCUGGAAAAUUGGCGCUCGGGACCUGGCAAGGAGUCUGGCUCUGUGAGCAUCGCGACCACGCGGGCAGUCGCAAGUUGGUCUUGACUCUGACUGGCUGCCUAAGGGACUCGGCCCGCAGUCCCCUAAGUCCCGUAAGUCCCAUCGCCUCUACCAGCAGCUAGGACCACUCUCAUCCCCAAAGGCGUGGCAAACGUCAGCUACGCAUAUCUACUUCUAGCGAAUCGAGCUAGCAGCUGCCUACUUUAGCCGAGUCCUAAGAGUAGAGUCUCAGGAAGAGUGAUCGGAUACUUGGGGAAAGAUACUAACUAAACAUAUUCCAAUCCAUUUUUAUUUUAAAAACUGACCAGCAGCAACGUUUCAGAAUUGAGAGGACAGCAAAGAAACCAAAAAAAAAGAAAGAAAUAAAUAAAAUACGAUUGAAAAUUCCAAAGAGAAUCUGAGAAAGGUCUGCUGGAAUAAUUUUUCUCGAUUGAAAAAGAUCGAAACCUAUUUCGCACCUAAUUCUUCACUCAUAUUUAAUCGAUAAAGCACAAUAUCGAAAAGAAUUGACGCCACUAGCUUAAUGAUAAAACAAUUUUUUUUAAAGUUAGCUUUUGUACUCCGUGCGAAAUUUAAUAGCUGGAUAUAGCGGACCUGCAAAUCGGUGCGACUUGAGGGAAAGAAAAUAAUAAUAAAUAAAAAGGCCCCGAAGACCGUAUAAAAUUAAUGAUUGCAAAUUUCAGUUUGCAGAAUUAAAAUCGCGAUUGCAGAUUAGUGUAAGACGAUUAAAAAUAAGUGGUGUACAUAAGAAAAUGCGCAUUCAAGUGGUGUGGGUGUGAGAUUGUUUUUGUGUGAGUAAAUUAUUAUUGUAAAUGGUAACUGAGAUUAAUUCCAGCGCACUUGAGAAAUAGACAUUGUUGGAAAGUGACAAUAUAGAGGAUUUAGUAGAUAUAAUUUUUUUAUCAUAGUGCAAAGUGUGCUAUGCGCAAUUCCAUUUUCUCCUGCUAACAAUUGUUUUGAGAACUUGUAUAAAAAGUUACUCUAAUUUUUGUUUGAAAUUUUUAAAAUCUGUUUCAGAAACGCUGAAGCGUUUUCGAUAAUAAAAUGCUCCUAUUCUGAAAGCGAUCUCAAUUUCAAAACAAUUUAAAAUGACAUAUUUACUAUUAUGAAACGUUUCAAAUUUUCGUGACACUUCCCCCUUUGAAACGUUACAUUUUUAGGCGUUUCCGAUUUGAAAUAAUGAUUAUAAUUUGAAAAAUAUUUUUCUCUUCAAAAUUCAAAAUUUGAAACGCUUGUUUUAAGAUGAUUUUUUUAAUUGAUCAACGUUUGAAAUUUGGAAGGAAACGUUUGUUAAAAUAAAACAUGUAAAUUCGAAAACGUUGCAAAAAUGGGAGCGUUUCGUAUAGAUAAUGAUUAAUUUGUUAAAAUUCAUAAAUGAUUUUAAUCAUAAAUCGAAAUUGCAGGAGAGAUAGGAGUGAGACAGAGUGAAUGUCAGAAAUAAGAGAUGGGAGAGAGCACAUUGUUAUUUAAUUAUUAACGAUAUGAUUCAUAUGAUACGAGGAUAUAAAUAUAAGGAGGAUUAAACAAAUAAGUAACGAUAAUCGAUGACAUGUAAAAUUACUUACAUGAUCGAUAAUGUACUUCACAGACAGCCCUUAACUUCGUUACUAGCCAAGAGAAAAUCGCCGGCCCACAACAAACUUUCCGUAUCACGCAUUUAAAUUAACGAAUAAGAGACAAAAGUAAGAGAAAUUUUGUCAAUACGAGUAUGCUACUUUGUAUAUUACGCUUAAGUAUGUAAACGCGCAGAAGGUAUGCGAGGAUGGUCUGAAAAGCAGAAAAGAAAAGAGCCUGCAAAAGAUCAUAUUUAUUGGAAAAAUUCAAAAUCAUAAACUACUUUCCCUCGGAUCAUCCUGCAUAUGUGCGACUUUCUUCUAGGAAUUAAUGAUCUCUUUUUCAAACGUUUAGAGACUCAAAAACCCUAUUAUUUGAUUGAAAACGGGUUUUUAAAUUUAAUUUCGAAGCGUUUUUUAAGCGUUUUUAAGUUACAAAUGUUUCAAAAUUAUUCCUAAGCAUUUUCCAUCUAGAAAGUCUUUAGAAACGCUUGCGAAACGCUUCUUUUAGCAACCCAAAAUGUAAAAUUUUUCAGAAAAAAAUCCGUUUUUCGGGUAAAUAAAAUUGGGGUUAAUUAAUCAGAGUCUGGAAUAGACUUGCGAGGAUAUAAAAGUUUAAUUUGUUUAGAAAGCUAUUUAGAAAGGGGAACUCUGAUUGUUUCCAUUGCACGCACAUUAGUCGAUGACUAAUUAUUAAUUAAUCAUUAUUCAUCGCUUAAAAAUGAAGUAUGAAUUGAAUCGAAGCCUUCUCUUCACACCUUGCAUUAUUUUCUUUGUAAUAUUAUAUAUUGCUUGGCAAUUUGUAUAUUUAUGGUUUCGUCGAUUAGAGCGUUUCCUACGACUACGCUGUAUAAAUUUAAUUAUUAAUUAAUAUAAUAAUUCCGAUCGAUUUAGUGGCUCGAAAACGAAUCACCUAGGAAUAUCUCUGAUAAUAAGUCGAUUUAAUAAAGUGCUGGUUUCUGUUUUCCACAGUGCCAUUGCCACACGAUUCGGAAUCAGUCUUUUUUCUUUCUUCAAUAUUCAAGCGUUUCGGAAGCGUUUUAGGCGCAUUUUUUAGGGAAAAACAUUUCAGCAUGAUUUUCAAACGUUUAUAUUUUAAAAACGUUUCAAAAACGCUUCCUGAACGUUUUGAAAAAACGUUCAAAACCCCGAUUUCUAUAACUGCCAAGGAGGAAAAUCUAUCAAAAUGAAACCAAGCACUAGCGUAAUGAAUUUUUAUUUUCAUCCAGCACUUUGCUGAGGGGACAAAAUACCUCUUUGCUUUCACUUUUUAGGCUCUACGGUUAAUCCGUUUAUCGAAAAUUAAAACAAGUCUUACAUCCUAAACAUGAGGCGUACAAAUACAUAUAAUACUAAAUUUCUUAUUGGUUCGAUACUGAGCUGCAUUUUUUCCAGAGAUAGAAACACAAAAGUGUCGAAUCUCAAAAACGGAAUUAAAACGAAAAAGAUUAAUUAAAUUUGUAAAAAUGAAAAUCAUUCGAUUGACACUUUUCGUGUUUGUGUCUCUGAAACGUUUCGUUCGUUUUUAUCUAUUGUAGAUAGUAAAUGCCUUUUCAAGGAUAUAAAAUAUAAAAAAUUCUAGCGAACUCCGUGACAUUGUUCGCGUUAAUUGAAGCAUCGCUUUCAGAAAAUAUCACGAUGUACAAUUUAGCGAUUAUUCAAAUAUCGUGGGUCAUGUAUUUGUUAUAUCAGAAUAUAAAACAGUAUAAUUAUAAAAAGUA